Molecule: ribosomal RNA, 499 nt
Filed under: uncultured bacterium
Lineage: Bacteria
Description: partial 16S ribosomal RNA
Rfam family: Bacterial small subunit ribosomal RNA
Source: RNAcentral
GACGAACGCUGGCGGCGUGCUUAACACAUGCAAGUCGAACGGGCCCGCCCCUGUUUUUGGGGGUGGGUUGAGUGGCGAACGGGUGAGUAUCACGUGAGUAACCUGCCCCCUGCUCCUGGAUAACUGCUUGAAAGGGCGGCUAAUACGGGGUGUGCCGGCUGGUCCGCAUGGGCCUGGUCGGGAUAGUUUCAUCUUCGGGUGUUUCGGUGGGGGAUGGGCUCGCGGCCUAUCAGCUUGUUGGUGGGGUGAUGGCCCACCAAGGCGGUGACGGGUAGCCGGCCUGAGAGGGUGGGCGGCCACACUGGGACUGAGACACGGCCCAGACUCCUGCGGGAGGCAGCAGUGGGGGGUAUUGCACAAUGGGCGGAAGCCUGAUGCAGCGACGUCGCGUGAGGGAUGGAGGCCUUGGGGUUGUGAACCUCUUUCUCCGGUGGUGAAGGCCCUGUCCGUUGCGGCGGGGUUGACGGUAGCCGGGUAUGAAGCGCCGGCUAACUACGUG